UGUAACAAAAGGCCUUCCCCUUUGUGCGUUUCAACCCGAGAGAGAGAGAAGGGAGAGUCUUUCUCUCUUUCUCUCUUUUCUUCUAGCUCACCACCCUCUCUCCCUCUCUUGUAAUCUCUCCACCAAAGAGGAAUUGGAGAAGAAGCUUGGUGGAGAGGAAGGCUUGGAGUUGAGCUACUACUUCUUCAUCAUUGGCUCAAGAAAAGGAAGCUUUUGAGGUUCGCACGUGAGCGGCGCGGCGGCCCGAGGCAAGGGCGUAGCUCCGUAGAUAGCGCCCUACUCUGAGACCAGAGAUAGCAGUACCCCAAGUCGGCAUAGCCUAGGGGUAUAGAAAUGAAAAGAACACAAAUGUAAUAAACUUGUAGUACAUUGUAAUAACUUAAUUGCAUUUGGCAGUUGAAUGUAAUGUAAAAUGAAAACUGAGA
This is a long non-coding RNA of Ananas comosus (pineapple), 425 nucleotides long. RefSeq lists it as uncharacterized. The record is from RefSeq and is a predicted model, not a curated record. Lineage: Eukaryota; Viridiplantae; Streptophyta; Magnoliopsida; Poales; Bromeliaceae. The transcript has 2 exons.